RNAcentral lists this transfer RNA (71 nucleotides) under Bos taurus (domestic cattle). It matches the Rfam family "tRNA". Rfam says of the family: Transfer RNA (tRNA) molecules are approximately 80 nucleotides in length. Their secondary structure includes four short double-helical elements and three loops (D, anti-codon, and T loops). Further hydrogen bonds mediate the characteristic L-shaped molecular structure. tRNAs have two regions of fundamental functional importance: the anti-codon, which is responsible for specific mRNA codon recognition, and the 3' end, to which the tRNAs corresponding amino acid is attached (by aminoacyl-tRNA synthetases). tRNAs cope with the degeneracy of the genetic code in two manners: having more than one tRNA (with a specific anti-codon) for a particular amino acid; and 'wobble' base-pairing, i.e. permitting non-standard base-pairing at the 3rd anti-codon position. RNAcentral also lists the same sequence under 4 other names. Lineage: Eukaryota; Metazoa; Chordata; Mammalia; Artiodactyla; Bovidae. The record is from Rfam by way of RNAcentral.
UCCCAGGUGGCUCACUGGUAAAGAAUCCACCUGCAAUGCAGGAGACUCAGGUUCAAUCCCUGGCUUGGGAA